RNAcentral lists this ribosomal RNA (253 nucleotides) under uncultured bacterium. RNAcentral describes it as "partial 16S ribosomal RNA". It matches the Rfam family "Bacterial small subunit ribosomal RNA", at positions 524 to 776 of the family's 1533-position model. The record is from RNAcentral.
UACAGAGGUCCCAAGCGUUGUUCGGAUUCAUUGGGCGUAAAGGGUGCGUAGGUGGCGUGGUAAGUCGGGUGUGAAAUUUCGGAGCUUAACUCCGAAACUGCAUUCGAUACUGCCGUGCUUGAGGACUGGAGAGGAGACUGGAAUUUACGGUGUAGCAGUGAAAUGCGUAGAGAUCGUAAGGAAGACCAGUGGCGAAGGCGGGUCUCUGGACAGUUCCUGACACUGAGGCACGAAGGCCAGGGGAGCAAACGAG